AUUGAACGCUGGCGGCAUGCCUUACACAUGCAAGUCGAACGGUAACAGGUCUUCGGAUGCUGACGAGUGGCGAACGGGUGAGUAAUACAUCGGAACGUGCCCGAGAGUGGGGGAUAACGCAGCGAAAGCUGUGCUAAUACCGCAUACGAUCUACGGAUGAAAGCAGGGGAUUCGCAAGAACCUUGCGCUCAUGGAGCGGCCGAUGGCAGAUUAGGUAGUUGGUGGGAUAAAAGCUUACCAAGCCGACGAUCUGUAGCUGGUCUGAGAGGACGACCAGCCACACUGGGACUGAGACACGGCCCAGACUCCUACGGGAGGCAGCAGUGGGGAAUUUUGGACAAUGGGGGAAACCCUGAUCCAGCCAUGCCGCGUGCAGGAUGAAGGCCUUCGGGUUGUAAACUGCUUUUGUACGGAACGAAAAGGUCUUUUCUAAUAAAGAAGGCCCAUGACGGUACCGUAAGAAUAAGCACCGGCUAACUACGUG
Molecule: ribosomal RNA, 484 nt
Filed under: uncultured bacterium
Lineage: Bacteria
Description: bacterial SSU rRNA
Rfam family: Bacterial small subunit ribosomal RNA
Source: RNAcentral